Long non-coding RNA from Rhineura floridana, 571 nucleotides. RefSeq lists it as uncharacterized. The record is from RefSeq and is a predicted model, not a curated record. The transcript is spliced from 4 exons. NCBI's taxonomy places the organism in Eukaryota, Metazoa, Chordata, Lepidosauria, Squamata, Rhineuridae.
GAAGAUGUUAGGAUGAUCUCCCAGCCUGGAUAAAUGGAAGCCUCUGCUGGACCGAGGAACCUUCCAUGAGUGGAGAGAGACACAAUUGGGAACAACUCUCUGCCACAAUUAUAGGAUUGUGCUGCACUUGUGAAAUCCCAGGAGAGACAUAUCUAUUGCUGAGCAUAACAGAAUGCCAACACCACUUUAGGCUUUUAAGCAUACUUGGGAUGACCCUGCACUUGAUGACGCAAACUUGCUUCCAUUCUACCUCAGUCACUCUGCUUGACACUUUGCAGCCUCAUAACCAGCUCCUGAUAGAACCAGGUCCUGCAAAGACUGUGCUUGAUCAGCUCUCAGAUGUUUACGCAUGACUUAGCCAUCCUGGCCUUAUAGCGGAGAUGCGGAAUUGGUGACCUUCCAUAUGUUGUUGGACUACAGUUCCCAUCAGCCUAAGUCAAAGGCCAGUUCAGGGAUGAUUGCAGUUGUAGACCAGUGGUAUCUGACAGGCCACAAGAUCCACACCCCUGCCUUGUAGCUGCACAAUUCCAUGGCUGCCAAGUGAUUUGAACCACCUCUCCUUAUAAAAUCC